GUGCUCACUUUGGCAGCACAUAUACUAAAAUUAGAACAAUACAGAGAUUAUUAGCAUGGCAAGGAUGACACUCAAAUUCAAGAAGCAUUCCAUAUUUUU
This 99-nucleotide small nuclear RNA is filed under the name Sciurus vulgaris (Eurasian red squirrel). Lineage: Eukaryota; Metazoa; Chordata; Mammalia; Rodentia; Sciuridae. The record is from RNAcentral.